CGGACGGGUGAGUAAUGUCUGGGAAACUGCCUGAUGGAGGGGGGUAACUACUGGAAACGGUAGCUAAUACCGCAUAACGUCGCAAGACCAAAGAGGGGGACCUUCGGGCCUCUUGCCAUCGGAUGUGCCCAGAUGGGAUUAGCUAGUAGGUGGGGUAACGGCUCACCUAGGCGACGAUCCCUAGCUGGUCUGAGAGGAUGACCAACCACACUGGAACUGAGACACGGUCCAG
This 232-nucleotide ribosomal RNA is filed under the name uncultured bacterium. RNAcentral's name for it is "partial 16S ribosomal RNA". It matches the Rfam family "Bacterial small subunit ribosomal RNA", at positions 99 to 334 of the family's 1533-position model. The record is from RNAcentral.